RNAcentral lists this ribosomal RNA (468 nucleotides) under uncultured bacterium. Its description in RNAcentral is "partial 16S ribosomal RNA". It matches the Rfam family "Bacterial small subunit ribosomal RNA", at positions 28 to 507 of the family's 1533-position model. The record is from RNAcentral.
GACGAACGCUGGCGGCGUGCUUAACACAUGCAAGUCGAACGGACAGGCCCUGCUUUUGUGGGGUGCUCGAGUGGCGAACGGGUGAGUAACACGUGAGUAACCUGCCCUUGACUUUGGGAUAACUUCAGGCAACUUGGGCUAAUACCGGAUAGGAGCUCCUGCUGCAUGGUGGGGGUUGGAAAGUUUCGGCGGUUGGGGAUGGACUCGCGGCUUAUCAGCUUGUUGGUGGGGUAGUGGAUUACCAAGGCUUUGCCGGGUAGCCGGCCUGAGAGGGUGACCGGCCACAUUGGGUCGGAGAUACGGCCCAGACUAAUACGGGAGGCAGGAGUGGGGAAUAGUGCACAAUGGGCGGAAGCCUGAUGCAGCAACGCCGCGUGCGGGAUGACGGCCUUCGGGUUGGAAACCGCUUUCGCCUGUGACGAAGCGUGAGUGACGGUAAUGGGUAAAGAAGCACCGGCUAACUACGUG